GGCUGAUUAGGAUGCAACAUUCUGUCAUUCUACUGAUCGCCAGGCUGGAAUCGGCUUAUCUGCCUGGCUAGGCGGGUGUCCCCUUCCAUGUGUGUCUCUCCCAAAGCUGCACACUCAGUUCAAGAGGACAGCCUUCCCUGAAUAGACGGAAGGGUUGUUCUUCUGUCAAGGGUAUCUGAGUAGCUGCAAUCCCCUGCUUGAGCACUCAAGGUCCAAGUGGGCUGGGAAGAAAGGAAGGAAGAAAGAAAGAGUGGUCCGGGAGGUGGCGCAGUGAUAAAGCUUUAGACUCUUUAGACUCUCAAGCAUGACUU
Molecule: small nuclear RNA, 311 nt
Filed under: Erinaceus europaeus (western European hedgehog)
Lineage: Eukaryota; Metazoa; Chordata; Mammalia; Eulipotyphla; Erinaceidae
Description: 7SK RNA
Rfam family: 7SK RNA
About the family: 7SK was discovered as an abundant small nuclear RNA in the mid-70s but a possible function has only recently been suggested.
Source: Rfam by way of RNAcentral